GAUUUCUGGUUCGGCGCACUUGGCCCGUCUCGGUUUACGGGAUUGUGUGCCGGUGUGCGCCAUCCAUCCUUCGAGUGAACACCGCUGCCCUUCACUGGGUGGGCGGUGCUAUCUCGAUCUUUUACUUUGAAAAAAUUAGAGUGUUUAAAGCAGGCUUGCGCUAUGAAUACAUUAGCAUGGAAUAAUAAUUUAGGACUUUUGUCUUAUUUUGUUGGUUUCUAGGACUUAAGUAAUGAUUGAUAGGGACAGUUGGGGGUGCUAGUAUUCAGCGGCCAGAGGUGAAAUUCUUGGAUUCGCUGAAGACUAACUUAUGCGAAAGCAUU
RNAcentral lists this ribosomal RNA (323 nucleotides) under uncultured cercomonad. RNAcentral's name for it is "SSU rRNA". The stretch from base 108 to 323 matches the Rfam family "Eukaryotic small subunit ribosomal RNA", at positions 738 to 955 of the family's 1831-position model. Lineage: Eukaryota; Cercozoa; Cercomonadida; Cercomonadidae. The record is from RNAcentral.